Molecule: unclassified non-coding RNA, 4114 nt
Filed under: Leishmania donovani
Lineage: Eukaryota; Euglenozoa; Kinetoplastea; Trypanosomatida; Trypanosomatidae
Description: gene:LdHU3.19.1180(CDS-product:4-coumarate:coa_li gase-like_protein)
Source: RNAcentral
CUCACACGACCUUCUCCUUCCACUAGUAUGUACAUCUUCCGAACGUGGCGGGUACGCAAAGAAAGGCAACGAACGAAUUCCCCUUAGCCCGGGAAAACGCAAAGAGCGGCAGCCACCGCUACAAGAGCAACAACGACACUAAAGAAGUCCAACGCUAUCGUUUAUAUCGAGUUGUACAUCCACAUCGGCUGCGCUGUUUGGUUUUCGUUUCUUUGGCUUUGUGUCACCAUCUCUCCCGCUCGCUCUCGCUGCCUCCCUCUCUCCUCGUUACACACACACAUAAACACAAUACGCGCGCAAAACACAAAAUUCACUGCUUCUCUCUCCCCCUUCUUUCUCGCUGCUUCACCGUCUUUUCUGCCGCUGCCGCUGGAAGAAAGACAAAAAAAAAUAAAGGAAGUCGCUGUUUGGAUUAUCUGUGUGCCACCGUCUUCAGCAUUCCCUUUUCUUUAUUUCUUCUUUUUUUUUCGUUGUGCGCCCCUUUGCUCAAGUCUUGCGUCGCGACGGCACUUCGCUCCCGACAACUAAAACCGAUGUAAAACGGGCACGUCGGCAAAGUCGAUCCCCCUCGCCGGAACUCCAUCCCUUCCCCCUUCCACCACCACGACCCUCGCCUGCACCCGUUGCCUGAUUUCUGUUGUUGUUUUCGGCUCCUACCACUUGAACCUGCUUCACCCCUUCCCUCCCCACCGCCCUUUGCUUCGCGUUCGCUGUGUUGCCCACUUACCCCGCCCCAAACACCCUUCUUUGGUGUGGGUGUCGGUGUGCAUGUGCGUGCCUGUCUCGAACCUCUUUUUACUAGCAUGAAGUUUUGUUCUUGUUGCCACCACCACCGCCUCCUUCAUCUUCACUCACCGCCCCUUUUAUCUUCAUCGCCCGUGGCCUAUAUCUUGCCCGAUUGCCCCCCCCCCUGCUCGUGCCUCACUGACUUCGCGUAACGCGUGGGUCACUCGAGGGCAUUGGGCCACUCCUGAGCCUUUUCCACUUUUCUGCACCCUCGACCUAUCCUUGUGAUCUGCGUGGCUCACCAAAGAGUCUGGCUUUUCUUCCCACCCCCCCCACCCCUCGCCCGCCGUCUACGCGUACAUGCCAAUGCUCCGAAACAGAAUGGGCCGCCUCAACAGAUCCGGCAUGCAUUUCUUUGUUGGUGGACCAGCUGCAUCCGUUGCCUACAGCUAUCGUUCCUCCAUGUAUACCCCCUCCCCUUUAUCGGCCGCGGCAGCACGACUAGCGGCUUUGCCUGUGGGCUUGCUGCGCCGGUGGAACUGCGUCAGCCGCGGCGCUGGUACUUCAUGUCCACGGCGGCACCGCGGGCGGCGGAGGACAUGCGCAUCUACAAGUCGAAGCUGCCGUCGGUGAUGGACAAGGUGAACCGGGAGACGACGCUGCACGGGUAUCUGAUGAAGCGCAUGGCGGCGGCGGACCCGAAGAAAAUCGCUGCGGUGCAGGCGGAGACGGGCAAGACACUCACGUACCCGGAGCUGAUGAAGGCGACGGAGCACGCGGCGAAAGCACUGCACCAGCAUGGCGUGCGGAAGGGCGACGUUGUGUGCCUGUGCAUGCUGAACACGAUCGUGUACGGCCCGCUGGUGUACGGCACGCUGCGCCUCGGCGCGAUCGCGUCGACGGUGAACGCCGUGGCAACGGCGUCGACGCUGGCGUACCACUUCAAGGCGAACGGUGCGAAGGUGGUGCUGGGCAUGCACUUCUUCCAGAAGCAGCUCGCGGAGGCCGUGGCGCUGGUAGAGCAGGAGACCGGGCGGAAGGUCCAGGUGCUGUACCCGGAGGAGUUCUUCAAGACAGACGCUCCCGAGAUCCCUGCGGACUACGACGGGCUGAAGGGGGCCACGCCGAACGACACCGUGGCCAUCCUCUUCUCGAGCGGCACGACCGGCAUGCCGAAGGGUGUGCAGCUGACGAACCGUGCGCUCAUUGCGUGCUCGGAGCAGUCCGCCAGCGCGUUCGGCGUUGGCUCGCAGGACACCGCCGUGACCGUUCUUCCGCUGUUUCACGUCUUCGGGUUCACGGCGUGCAUGAACUGCAUGUUCGCCUACGCCGCGACGCAGGUGGUGAUGUCCAAGUACUCGGUCGAGGACUACGUGCGCGCGAUUGAGAAGUACAAGGCGACGGUCAACCUCGUCGCCCCGCCGAUCCUCAUCUCGCUGGUGAAGAACGCGGACAAGGUGAAGCGGCACGACCUGUCGUCGCUCAAGCGCUUCUGCUCCUCGUCGGCGCCGCUUGGAGCGGACGUGGUGGACACGGUGGAGCAGCUGAUCCCUGGCUGCGCUGUCACCCAGGGCUACGGCAUGACGGAGAUGGCGCCGACGGUGACGGCACCGCUGUGGGGCCAACGGUGCACGCCAGGCUGCUGCGGGAGCCUGAUACCCGACACGGAGCUACGCAUCGUGAAGGUGGACGACAGCCAGCAGAGCGGCGCGGAUAAGUCUUGCGGCAUCGACGCAGAGCCCGGCGCGGAGGGUGAGGUGUGGGUGCGUGGUCCGCAGAUGAUGAAGGGCUAUUUGCGCGAUGAGGACACGGCCAUGUGCAUGCAGGACGGCUGGUACCGCACUGGCGACAUCGGCAGGAUGCUGGAGACUGACGAGCUGAUGAUCACGGACCGGCUGAAGGAGCUGAUCAAGUACAAGGGCUUUCAGGUGUCGCCGGCUUCCCUGGAGGCGCUCUUGCUGACGCACCCGUGGGUGAAGGACUGCGUGGUGAUUGGCGUGCCGGACCCGCGCGACGUGAGCUUCGAGAACCCGCGUGCGCUCGUCGUGCUGCAGCCCUCUGUGUCCCCAGAGGACGCCGUGCGUGCGUCGGACGAGCUGUACCGCUUCGUGAUGAUAAGCAUGCCCCCGCACAAGCGGCUGCACGGCGGUGUGCGCGUCGUGGACGAGAUUCCUCGCAACGCCGCUGGCAAGGUGAUGCGGCGUCAGGUGCGCCAGGAUGAGGUGGCGCUGCUGAAGGGGCAGAACAGCGAUAGCGGUGAGGGCAAGUGAAAGAAAGAGUACAUGAGGGAGGGGUGCCGAAGGGACGAAGAGAGCAGGUGUGCAUGUGCGCCCCGGUUGCAGAGGUGCGGCAGUUGUAGUAAAACGCACAAUAGUGGUAGUAGCCGUGCUUGCAGAUGGGGACAGGGAGGAGACGAGCAAAACCGGCUGUUGUGUGGCGGCGGCUGCGGAGAGGGAAGGCGAAGCGAAUCGCGCACACAAAGCCAUCACCAAGAACAGCGGCGACCUCCUCGCCUACAGUAAAUGUCACAGGUGGUCUGCACCGCCGCAUGGCUUCCGUGUAGACUGAAUGAGCUCGCAUGUGGAACAUGAAACUCUGCGCCUACGUUUCUUUUGAUUCCCCUCGCUCUGUCUCUCCUUCUCGUCCCUGCAAGCCCCCUCCUCCCUUUGCGCGUCUGUGCAGAGGUGUGUUUCUGUGAGCUGCUGCCGCGCCGCCAACGAUCUUUACCGCCUUAUCGCUCUUGCAUGGACGACGCCUUCGUUUUCCACGUCGUUCUCCGACGUAGUUUUCUUCUCCCUCCUCGUCUCUGUCUUGACUGCUUCUCCGCUCGCGCUGCGAUCGCUGCUCUUCUCGUGCGUCCUUGCUCUCCUUUCAGAGAUCACUUGCGCUACCCUGAUGAUGCGGGCCACCUCAGCGUGGCACCACACUUCAAGUGCCCGCUCUGUAUGGGGAGGCCAAGCAGCCGGCAGCCUGUCCUUGGGCAUGGCGAGCGGGCUCUCGGUGUCGGCGGACAGGUGUGGGUCAGCGCGGUGCCGCAGAGACCUACGGCCAUGAUCGCGUUCGUACCAGUGCGCUGCAAAUUGUGUCGACGGUCCCACAAAUAUGCGCAUCCACCUCCUGUGUUGUCUCUGCUCUGGCUGCGUUGCGGUGGCGUUGAGCGUGAUCCCGGGCCGAGCCUGCGCUGUGUGCUGCCGUGGCCUUGCGCUGGACGGAACGACGCCGAACGGUGUUGGUAGGGCCUGGCUCCUUGGCGAAUCCUCGAUGCAAGUCUGCAUUCUGCGAGAGGAGGGCAUGCCACCACGACAUUUGGCCUCGCGGGUUAUCAGCGUGCUGGUGCAGCAGUAGGAAAGAAGAGCGGCUGUCGGAGUGAACGGCGGCAUAAACAGGC